RNAcentral lists this ribosomal RNA (443 nucleotides) under uncultured bacterium. RNAcentral's name for it is "partial 16S ribosomal RNA". It matches the Rfam family "Bacterial small subunit ribosomal RNA", at positions 338 to 795 of the family's 1533-position model. The record is from RNAcentral.
CCUACGGGAGGCAGCAGUGGGGAAUAAUGGGCAAUGGGCGAAAGCCUGACCCAGCAACGCCGCGUGAAGGAAGAAGGCUUUUGGGUUGUAAACUUCUUUUCUCAGGGACGAAGCAAGUGACGGUACCUGCGGAAUAAGCCACGGCUAACUACGUGCCAGCAGCCGCGGUAAUACGUCGGUGGCAAGCGGUAUUCGGAUUUACUGGGUGUAAAGGGGGGGUAGGCGGGAACGUAGUCAGUUUGUGAAAACCAUGGGCUCAACCUGUGGCGUGCAUUUGAUACUGUUUUUCUUGAGUACUGGAGAGGCAGACGGAAUUCCUGGUGUAGCGGUGAAAUGCGUAGAUAUGAGGAGGAACACCAGUGGCGAAGGCGGUCUGCUGGACAGCAACUGACGCUGAAGCACGAAAGCGUGGGUAUCGAACAGGAUUAGAUACCCGGGUAGUC